Nannospalax galili (Upper Galilee mountains blind mole rat) is the source of this 528-nucleotide long non-coding RNA. RefSeq lists it as uncharacterized. The transcript is spliced from 3 exons. Lineage: Eukaryota; Metazoa; Chordata; Mammalia; Rodentia; Spalacidae. The record is from RefSeq and is a predicted model, not a curated record.
GGCACAAUUCAGCCUGUGAAUGGACAGUGAAGUGUCCCUAGCUUAGGGACAGUGGAUCUUACAGAAGGAAGAUAGUGCCCUGAGCAUGAGUCUGUGAAGGUCAGGCAGAAGGGGCUGGCUUUUACUCCACCAAGGCAUAAACCAGGCAACCCUGUUUUCACCUGGGGAGACACUGCAGUUAACAGUCCCCAGGAACAGUGCCACCAAGAGCUGCCAUCUGCUGCCACAUCUCAAGAGCCUGGCUUUCUCUCCACCAGUCAAGAGCCCCCACCCAAUAUCCACUGCUCAGAUUCCAAUCAGUGUGUAAUGCUGCACUUUAUAAACUAGGAAUGAACAGCUAGGGAUCACCAGACCCUGUGGAGAACAUCUCAUAGAAGACACUCAGAAGAGCAAGAUCAGGAAGCAAAGCAGAACCUUAGUGCAAGCCUCGAUCACCCAGUAACUUGCAUCCUGCCCACGCAUGGAAAAUGAUUAACUGAAAUGAAAGAGAUCUUCUUGACUACAUCAUCUAAAACCAGAAGACACACC